GGUUAAGUUAGAAAGGGCGCACGGUGGAUGCCUUGGCACUAGGAGCCGAUGAAGGACGGGACGAACACCGAUAUGCUUCGGGGAGCUGUAAGCAAGCUUUGAUCCGGAGAUUUCCGAAUGGGGAAACCCACCACUCGUAAUGGAGUGGUAUCCAUAUCUGAAUACAUAGGAUAUGAGAAGGCAGACCCGGGGAACUGAAACAUCUAAGUACCCGGAGGAAGAGAAAGCAAAUGCGAUUCCCUGAGUAGCGGCGAGCGAAACGGGACCAGCCCAAACCAAGAGGCUUGCCUCUUGGGGUUGUAGGACACUCUGUACGGAGUUACAAAGGAACGAGGUAGAUGAAGAGGUCUGGAAAGGCCCGCCAUAGAAGGUAACAGCCCUGUAGUCAAAACUUCGUUCUCUCCUGAGUGGAUCCUGAGUACGGCGGAACACGUGAAAUUCCGUCGGAAUCCGGGAGGACCAUCUCCCAAGGCUAAAUACUCCCUAGUGACCGAUAGUGAACCAGUACCGUGAGGGAAAGGUGAAAAGCACCCCGGAAGGGGAGUGAAAGAGAUCCUGAAACCGUGUGCCUACAAGUAGUCAGAGCCCGUUAACGGGUGAUGGCGUGCCUUUUGUAGAAUGAACCGGCGAGUUACGAUCCCGUGCAAGGUUAAGCAGAAGAUGCGGAGCCGCAGCGAAAGCGAGUCUGAAUAGGGCGAAUUGAGUACGUGGUCGUAGACCCGAAACCAGGUGAUCUACCCAUGUCCAGGGUGAAGUUCAGGUAACACUGAAUGGAGGCCCGAACCCACGCACGUUGAAAAGUGCGGGGAUGAGGUGUGGGUAGGGGUGAAAUGCCAAUCGAACCUGGAGAUAGCUGGUUCUCUCCGAAAUAGCUUUAGGGCUAGCCUCAAGGUAAGAGUCUCGGAGGUAGAGCACUGAUUGGACUAGGGGCCCCUACCGGGUUACCGAAUUCAGUCAAACUCCGAAUGCCGAUGACUUAUCCUUGGGAGUCAGACUGCGAGUGAUAAGAUCCGUAGUCGAAAGGGAAACAGCCCAGACCGCCAGCUAAGGUCCCAAAGUAUACGUUAAGUGGAAAAGGAUGUGGAGUUGCUUAGACAACCAGGAUGUUGGCUUAGAAGCGUACCACCAUUUAAAGAGUGCGUAAUAGCUCACUGGUCGAGUGACUCUGCGCCGAAAAUGUACCGGGGCUAAACGUAUCACCGAAGCUGCGGACUGUUCUUCGAACAGUGGUAGGAGAGCGUUCUAAGGGCUGUGAAGCAAGACCGGAAGGACUUGUGGAGCGCUUAGAAGUGAGAAUGCCGGUAUGAGUAGCGAAAGAGGGGUGAGAAUCCCCUCCACCGAAUGCCUAAGGUUUCCUGAGGAAGGCUCGUCCGCUCAGGGUUAGUCGGGACCUAAGCCGAGGCCGAAAGGCGUAGGCGAUGGAUAACAGGUUGAUAUUCCUGUACCACCUCCUCACCAUUUGAGCAAUGGGGGACGCAGGAGGAUAGGGUAAGCGCGGUAUUGGAUAUCCGCGUCCAAGCAGUUAGGCUGGGAAAUAGGCAAAUCCGUUUCCCGUGAAGGCUGAGCUGUGAUGGCGAGCGAAUUAUAGUAGCGAAGUUCCUGAUUCCACACUGCCAAGAAAAGCCUCUAGCGAGGUGAGAGGUGCCCGUACCGCAAACCGACACAGGUAGGCGAGGAGAGAAUCCUAAGGUGAUCGAGAGAACUCUCGUUAAGGAACUCGGCAAAAUGACCCCGUAACUUCGGGAGAAGGGGUGCUCUGUUAGGGUGCAAGCCCGAGAGAGCCGCAGUGAAUAGGCCCAGGCGACUGUUUAGCAAAAACACAGGUCUCUGCGAAGCCGUAAGGCGAAGUAUAGGGGCUGACGCCUGCCCGGUGCUGGAAGGUUAAGAGGAGCGCUUAGCGUAAGCGAAGGUGCGAAUUGAAGCCCCAGUAAACGGCGGCCGUAACUAUAACGGUCCUAAGGUAGCGAAAUUCCUUGUCGGGUAAGUUCCGACCCGCACGAAAGGCGCAACGAUCUGGGCACUGUCUCAACGAGAGACUCGGUGAAAUUAUAGUACCUGUGAAGAUGCAGGUUACCCGCGACAGGACGGAAAGACCCCGUGGAGCUUUACUGCAGCCUGAUAUUGAAUGUUGGUACAGCUUGUACAGGAUAGGUAGGAGCCUUGGAAACCGGAGCGCCAGCUUCGGUGGAGGCAUCGGUGGGAUACUACCCUGGCUGUAUUGACCUUCUAACCCGCCGCCCUUAUCGGGCGGGGAGACAGUGUCAGGUGGGCAGUUUGACUGGGGCGGUCGCCUCCUAAAAGGUAACGGAGGCGCCCAAAGGUUCCCUCAGAAUGGUUGGAAAUCAUUCGCAGAGUGUAAAGGCACAAGGGAGCUUGACUGCGAGACCUACAAGUCGAGCAGGGACGAAAGUCGGGCUUAGUGAUCCGGUGGUUCCGCAUGGAAGGGCCAUCGCUCAACGGAUAAAAGCUACCCCGGGGAUAACAGGCUUAUCUCCCCCAAGAGUCCACAUCGACGGGGAGGUUUGGCACCUCGAUGUCGGCUCAUCGCAUCCUGGGGCUGUAGUCGGUCCCAAGGGUUGGGCUGUUCGCCCAUUAAAGCGGUACGCGAGCUGGGUUCAGAACGUCGUGAGACAGUUCGGUCCCUAUCCGUCGCGGGCGCAGGAAAUUUGAGAGGAGCUGUCCUUAGUACGAGAGGACCGGGAUGGACGCACCGCUGGUGUACCAGUUGUUCUGCCAAGGGCAUCGCUGGGUAGCUAUGUGCGGACGGGAUAAGUGCUGAAAGCAUCUAAGCAUGAAGCCCCCCUCAAGAUGAGAUUUCCCAUUCCGCAAGGAAGUAAGAUCCCUGAAAGAUGAUCAGGUUGAUAGGUCUGAGGUGGAAGUGUGGCGACACAUGGAGCUGACAGAUACUAAUCGAUCGAGGACUUAACCAA
Molecule: ribosomal RNA, 2930 nt
Filed under: Bacillus velezensis
Lineage: Bacteria; Bacillati; Bacillota; Bacilli; Caryophanales; Bacillaceae
Description: 23S ribosomal RNA
Rfam family: Bacterial large subunit ribosomal RNA
Source: RNAcentral